CAUCACGUGGUGAGGUAGCAGUUAGAGAGAGAGAGAGAGAGUCGUGCAAUUCAUGACAGCGGUCGUGGUCAUUUCUGUAAAAGUGUGAACUUUAGAGAGAGAGAGUGAGGGUGGGGACCGGAACCUGCAGCUUGGCUUUGUCUUUUACUCCGUCUUUUUCUCCUCUCUCUCUCUCUUCUUUAUUGCUCCUGCCGACGACUCCUCUGCUGCUGACCCACUCCAUUUACUCCACCUUCCCUCACUUCCCUCAAUUUCUCAUUUUUUUAACUGUUGGAGAUUGGUUGGGCUUUUACUCCCCUGUCCUGUUUCUCUCUGUUCAGUGUAAUCAUUUAGGUCAUCAUAACCUCUACACCGCCUCUUUAUCUCCGCCCCAACCUGGGCCUGAGAGAAUCAUGGUGUCAUGGGCGAGAUAGAAUGAAAAAACUAAGGUGGGCGUUUUUGCUGCCGUUGCAAAUCAGUAAAAAUGGAAGCUUUCUUUUUGAGGGGAAUGUUGUCUGGCUCGAGGCCUUCGGUGGAAUCUCACUUUCUCUCUCUUCUUUUUCCAUGAUGGAGUUCUAAGAGAGCUUCGGAUGUGAAGUCUCGGACCAGGCUUCAUUCCCCCCAAUCACUGCUUCCCUCUCCAUGCCAUAAACUCUCAUGAGGUUCAGAUCAAGGUUGUUCAUGUUUUGCAAACAUUGAUCUGUAGGUUUUUUCCUUACUUAGCCAGUUCUAUUUUUCUUAACAUUUGUUUUUCAUGAAUACUGAGAGUGGAAACUGGAUGAAAGGUAAUAGAGGAGGACUGGAUAGAUUUUUGAUUUGUCUCCUAUGUGAUCUUAAGAUAUGAAUUUGAUUAGAUCCAUCCAUAGAUAUCAUAAAGGUAGCAUCUUUAUGCAAUCAUCAGAAUGCCUACAGAUCAAAUAAUGAUUAAAGUCCUUCGAAUUUUAUUAUUUUAAAUUUAAAGCAAUUUUCUUCCUUUUUUGUUCUUUCUAGCUUCUGCUUCUAUUUGGAAAUGACUACACAUCGAAAAAACAGUUUUUGCACAUGGCAAUAGUUGGAAUAGCUCUUAUUGUCUUCCUUAGCUCUCUUCUCUCUUAAUUUCCUGAAGAUUUUCCAACUCUUACAGAAUAAGAAAUGUAGGAAUUUAAUUCCUUAAUUUUUUAUGAAAAGAAAUUCACAGGUCUUGAUAUCAGCGCAUGCUUUAACUAAAGUUUGAAAAUUUUAGCCAUCUGGAGUACUGAAUUCCUUAACUUAUGAAGAUCGUCAUCCUUCCAUGAAAAAAAAAAAGGUAAAAAAAUAGUAAGUGCACAUCUCUAGAAGAUGCUCUCCCAGGACUUUGUUUUUAUCUUGGGUACCAGUUCUAUUUUUUUAUGCAGGGACAGCAAUAACAAAUCAACCAAGAGGUAUUCACGGGAGAAAAUGGCUACUCGUACCUCACAAUUAUUAUGUGUCAUGCUCAAGUUACUAUGUAUUUUAUUAUAUGUUGGCAGACCUUUUUUUUUUUUUAAUUUUUAAUCUAAUGUUUUUUGUGAUUCUUAAUCACCAAAACUUAAUUCAUUCAAACGAGCCUCUCACUCGAUUAAUUACGUGUUGACCGAUCCAUGGCCUCUUCUGCAAUCCCCGUACGUUGAUUUGAACCAGUAUCUUUCAGCACAGCCAUUUUUAUGACGAUGGAAGUAAAUGAUAUAUUUCGGCCUCAACGUUUUCCAAGGGAAGAUGCUCCCAAGGAAGCUCAUUUACUUCUCCAUAACAAAUGAACUCUAUGGCUCUUUAUGAGCCGGGAUACUUUUUUUAGUUAUCUCCUUCAUUUGAACUUUCGCUCUCUCUUUAUAUAAUCAUAUAAGUAUAUAAAGGAGAAAGCUCUUACUAGUAAACUACAAUUAAUUUUCCUGAGUGCAUGUUACGUCAUGACUUCAAACAUAGAGAUUUGUUCGGAUUCCAAUAAUAAUUAUGUUAUUGUAAUAUUCUGCUGUGUUAUAAGAAUAUUUCAUCAAUGUUAUUUGUAAAAAAUGAAGUGUUAUUCAAGUAUGGCUUGAUGUUAUUCAAUUACUCUACGGUGUUAUUCGAA
Molecule: long non-coding RNA, 2044 nt
Organism: Phalaenopsis equestris
Lineage: Eukaryota; Viridiplantae; Streptophyta; Magnoliopsida; Asparagales; Orchidaceae
Exons: 2
Source: RefSeq, a predicted model, not a curated record